UCGAGAAUCUUUCACAAUGGGGGAAACCCUGAUGGAGCGACGCCGCGUGGGGGAUGAAUGGCUUCGGCCCGUAAACCCCUGUCAUCUGCGAUCAAACCUUUUCGGUGAACAAUCGAAAAGCUGAUAGUAGUAGAAGAGGAAGGGACGGCUAACUCUGUGCCAGCAGCCGCGGUAAUACAGAGGUCCCAAGCGUUGUUCGGAUUUACUGGGCGUAAAGGGUGCGUAGGUGGCGGAGUAAGUUCGAUGUGAAAUCUCUGAGCUUAACUCAGAAACGGCAUUGAAUACUACUUUGCUUGAGGGUUGGAGGGGGGACUGGAAUUCUCGGUGUAGCGGUGAAAUGCGUAGAUAUCGAGAGGAACACCAGUGGCGAAGGCGAGUCCCUGGACAACUCCUGACACUGAGGCACGAAAGCUAGGGGAGCAAACAGGAUUAGAUACCCUGGUAGUCCUAGCCCUAAACUGUGCACGUUUGCUGUGGGCGGAUUCGACCCGUCCGUGGCGAAG
This 503-nucleotide ribosomal RNA is filed under the name uncultured Verrucomicrobiota bacterium. Its description in RNAcentral is "bacterial SSU rRNA". It matches the Rfam family "Bacterial small subunit ribosomal RNA", at positions 355 to 851 of the family's 1533-position model. Lineage: Bacteria; Pseudomonadati; Verrucomicrobiota. The record is from RNAcentral.